RNAcentral lists this long non-coding RNA (269 nucleotides) under Nicotiana benthamiana. Its description in RNAcentral is "long non-coding RNA (NBEN_LNC024130)". The record is from RNAcentral. Lineage: Eukaryota; Viridiplantae; Streptophyta; Magnoliopsida; Solanales; Solanaceae.
CGCUCACAACUCCUCACCGGGGCAUCAGGACUUCUCCUCCGCACAUGCCCGAACCACCUCAGCCUCGAUUCUCGCAUCUUCUCAUCCACCGGGGCCANNNNNNNNAGCUCCUAUACGAUGAGUGACGUCCCCGUCAAUCUCUCCGUCCCCCUGAAUCACCGACCCAAGAUAUCUGAUACUGUCCCUCUUGGCGAUGGCCUGAGAUCCAAUCAUCACGUCCCUGCCUAUUUCGCUCGGCUCGGCGCUAAUCUUACACUCCAGGUAUUCUG